GACGAACGCUGGCGGCGUGCUUAACACAUGCAAGUCGAGCGGUAAGGCCCUUUCGGGGGUACACGAGCGGCGAACGGGUGAGUAACACGUGGGUGACCUGCCCUCAGCUCUGGGAUAAGCCUGGGAAACCGGGUCUAAUACUGGAUAUGACUCCAUGACGCAUGUUGUGGGGUGGAAAGCCUUGUGCGGCUGAGGAUGGGCCCGCGGCCUAUCAGCUUGUUGGUGGGGUGAGGCCUACCAAGGCGACGACGGGUAGCCGGCCUGAGAGGGCGACCGGCCACACUGGGACUGAGACACGGCCCAGACUCCUACGGGAGGCAGCAGUGGGGAAUCUUGCGCAAUGGGCGAAAGCCUGACGCAGCGACGCCGCGUGAGGGAUGAUGGCCUGG
This 389-nucleotide ribosomal RNA is filed under the name uncultured bacterium. RNAcentral describes it as "bacterial SSU rRNA". It matches the Rfam family "Bacterial small subunit ribosomal RNA", at positions 28 to 419 of the family's 1533-position model. The record is from RNAcentral.